RNAcentral lists this ribosomal RNA (253 nucleotides) under uncultured bacterium. RNAcentral describes it as "partial 16S ribosomal RNA". It matches the Rfam family "Bacterial small subunit ribosomal RNA", at positions 524 to 776 of the family's 1533-position model. The record is from RNAcentral.
UACGUAGGUGGCGAGCGUUGUCCGGAUUUACUGGGCGUAAAGAGCGCGCAGGCGGUCGUUCAAGUCGCGUGUGAAAGCCCCCGGCUCAACUGGGGAGGGUCACGCGAUACUGAUCGACUCGAAGGCAGGAGAGGGAAGCGGACUUCCCGGUGUAGUGGUGAAAUGCGUAGAUAUCUGGAGGAACACCGGUGGCGAAGGCGGCAUCCUGGACCAUUACUGACACUGAAAAGCGAAAGCCAGGGGAGCAAACGGG